This 497-nucleotide ribosomal RNA is filed under the name uncultured bacterium. Its description in RNAcentral is "partial 16S ribosomal RNA". It matches the Rfam family "Bacterial small subunit ribosomal RNA", at positions 28 to 507 of the family's 1533-position model. The record is from RNAcentral.
GAUGAACGCUGGCGGCGUGCCUAAUACAUGCAAGUCGAGCGAACGGACGAGAAGCUUGCUUUUCUGAUGUUAGCGGCGGACGGGUGAGUAACACGUGGAUAACCUACCUAUAAGACUGGGAUAACUUCGGGAAACCGGAGCUAAUACCGGAUAAUAUUUUGAACCGCAUGGUUCAAAAGUGAAAGACGGUCUUGCUGUCACUUAUAGAUGUAUCCGCGCUGCAUUAGCUAGUUGGUAAGGUAACGGCUUACCAAGGCAACGAUGCAUAGCCGACCUGAGAGGGUGAUCGGCCACACUGGAACUGAGACACGGUCCAGACUCCUAAGGGAGGCAGCAGUAGGGAAUCUUCCGCAAUGGGCGAAAGCCUGACGGAGCAACGCCGCGUGAGUGAUGAAGGUCUUCGGAUCGUAAAACUCUGUUAUUAGGGAAGAACAUAUGUGUAAGUAACUGUGCACAUCUUGACGGUACCUAAUCAGAAAGCCACGGCUAACUACGUG